Molecule: long non-coding RNA, 473 nt
Organism: Balaenoptera ricei (Rice's whale)
Lineage: Eukaryota; Metazoa; Chordata; Mammalia; Artiodactyla; Balaenopteridae
Exons: 3
Source: RefSeq, a predicted model, not a curated record
GUUGAAAACAAAAAUGUUUUUCCCCUCUGAUUCCUUAUCCUUCCUCUCACAGAGGACCAGGAGAAGAAACCAGUGGCAAGGUACACCUGCCAGUGGUGCCCAGAGGAGUUGCUCAGCCUCCCUCGUGUCAGCCAGGACGUGAAAGGGAGACCACCUGGCCUGCGUGCUCAGAAGCCUCAGAGUAUUUAGAAAUGGGCAGACGCGGGGCAGCCUUGGGACCAAAUGCUGCUGGAGGAAAACCAGACAAUCCAGUGUGGGUACCGCCAAGCUCCAGCACCGUCUCCUCUGAAAAGCCCCUUGUCCCCAGUGUGUUUUUCCGGAUGACUCCGUGGACAUGCGUCUCUAGGGAUGCUGCAGUUGGCUAUCACUACAGGCGUCCUGCCUUUCUCCUACCAGGAAAGUCGUGAGUAAACAGAAGUUUCGUAAAUCGAGUCAAUGUUCCUAGCAACCUCCAUGACCAUUUCAGAGAUGCU